CCUACGGGAGGCAGCAGUAGGGAAUCUUUCACAAUGGGCGAAAGCCUGAUGGAGCAACGCCGCGUGCAGGAUGAAGGCCUUCGGGUUGUAAACUGCUUUUAUAAGCGAGAAAUAUGAUGGUAACUUAUGAAUAAGGAUCGGCUAACUACGUGCCAGCAGCCGCGGUCAUACGUAGGAUCCGAGCAUUAUCCGGAGUGACUGGGUGUAAAGAGUUGCGUAGGUGGCAUAAGAAGUAGCUAGUGAAAACUGGUGGCUCAACCAUUCAGACUAUUAGCUAAACUGUUAAGCUCGAGACCGUUAGGGGUAACUGGAAUUUCUAGUGUAGGAGUGAAAUCCGUAGAUAUUAGAAGGAACACCAAUAGCGUAGGCAGGUUGCUGGGACGGUUCUGACACUAAGGCACGAAAGCGUAGGGAGCAAACGGGAUUAGAUACCCGGGUAGUC
This 442-nucleotide ribosomal RNA is filed under the name uncultured bacterium. Its description in RNAcentral is "partial 16S ribosomal RNA". It matches the Rfam family "Bacterial small subunit ribosomal RNA", at positions 338 to 795 of the family's 1533-position model. The record is from RNAcentral.